CCUACGGGAUGCAGCAGUCGAGAAUUAUUCACAAUGGGGGAAACCCUGAUGGUGCGACGCCGCGUGGGGGAAUGAAGGUCUUCGGAUUGUAAACCCCUGUCAUGUGGGAGCAAAUUAAAAAGAUAGUACCACAAGAGGAAGAGACGGCUAACUCUGUGCCAGCAGCCGCGGUAAUACAGAGGUCUCAAGCGUUGUUCGGAAUCACUGGGCGUAAGGCGUGCGUAGGCUGUUUCGUAAGUCGUGUGUGAAAGGCGCGGGCUCAACCCGCGGACGGCACAUGAUACUGCGAGACUAGAGUAAUGGAGGGGGAACCGGAAUUCUCGGUGUAGCAGUGAAAUGCGUAGAUAUCGAGAGGAACACUCGUGGCGAAGGCGGGUUCCUGGACAUUAACUGACGCUGAGGCACGAAGGCCAGGGGAGCGAAAGGGAUUAGAUACCCGUGUAGUC
Molecule: ribosomal RNA, 446 nt
Filed under: uncultured bacterium
Lineage: Bacteria
Description: partial 16S ribosomal RNA
Rfam family: Bacterial small subunit ribosomal RNA
Source: RNAcentral